GGUUCGAUUAUGGCUCCGUGAUUGAACGCUGGCGGGAUGCUUUACACAUGCAAGUCGAACGGCAGCACGGACUUCGGUCUGGUGGCGAGUGGCGAAACGGGUGAGUAAUACCGGAACGUGCCUAGUAGCGGGAGAUAACUACGCGAAAGCGUAGCUAAUACCGCAUACACGCCCUUCGGGGGAAAGCGGGGGACCUUUCGGGCCUCGCACUAUUAGAGCGGCCGACAUCGGAUUAGCCGGUUGGUGGGGUAACGGCUCACCAAGGCGACGAUCCGUAGCUGGUUUGAGAGGACGACCAGCCACACUGGGACUGGAGACACGGCCCAGACUCCUACGGGAGGCAGCAGUGGGGAAUUUGGACAAUGGGGGGAAACCCUGAUCCAGCCAUCCCGCGUGUGCGAUGAAGGCCUUCGGGUUGUAAAGCACUUUUGGCAGGAAAGAAACGGCACGGGAUAAUACCCCGUGCAACUGACGGUACCUGCAGAAUAAGCACCGGCUAACUACGUGCCAGCAGCCGCGGUAAUACGUAAGGGUGCAAGCGUUAAUCGGAAUUACUGGGCGUAAAGCGUGUGCGCAGGCGGUUCGGAAAGAAAGAUGUGAAAUCCCAGAGCUUAACUUUGGAACUGCAUUUUUAACUACCGAGCUAGAGUGUGUCAGAGGGGUGGAAUUCGCGUGUAGCAGUGAAAUGCGUAGAUAUGCGGAGGAACACCGAUGGCGAAGGCAGCCUCCUGGGAUAACACUGACGCUCAUGCACGAAAGCGUGGGGAGCAAACAGGAUUAGAUACCCUGUAGUCCACGCCCUAAACGCGAUGUCAACUAGUUGCUGGGGCCUUCGGGCCUUGGUAGCGCAGCUAACGCGUGAAGUUGACCGCCUGGGGAGUACGGUCGCAAGAUUAAAACUCAAAGGAAUUGACGGGGACCCGCACAAGCGGUGGAUGAUGUGGAUUAAUUCGAUGCAACGCGAAAACCUUACCUACCCUUGACAUGUCUGGAAUCCCGAAGAGACGGGAGUGCUCGCAAGAGAACCGGAACACAGGUGCCGUAUGGCUGUCGUCAGCCUGUGUCGUGAGAUGUUGGGUUAAGUCCCGCAACGAGCGCAAACUCUUGUCAUUAGUUGCUACGAAAGGGCACUGACGAGAUCAAGCUGCGACAAACCGGAGGAAGGUGGGGAUGACGUCAAGUCCUCAUGGCCCUUAUGGGUAGGGCUUCAACACGUCAUACAAUGGUCGGGACAGAGGGUCGCCAACCCGCGAGGGGGAGCCAAUCCCCAGAAACCCGAUCGUAGUCCGGAUCGCAGUCUGCAACUCGACUGCGUGAAGUCGGAAUCGCUAGUAAUCGCGGAUCAGCAUGUCGCGGUGAAUACGUUCCCGGGUCUUGUACACACUGCCCGUCACACCAUGGGAGUGGGUUUUACCAGAAGUAGUUAGCCCAACCGUAAGGAGGGCGAUUACCACGGUAGGAUUCAUGACUGGGGUGAAGUCGUAACAAGGUAG
This 1493-nucleotide ribosomal RNA is filed under the name uncultured Bordetella sp. RNAcentral's name for it is "partial 16S-23S ribosomal RNA intergenic spacer". It matches the Rfam family "Bacterial small subunit ribosomal RNA". The record is from RNAcentral. Lineage: Bacteria; Pseudomonadati; Pseudomonadota; Betaproteobacteria; Burkholderiales; Alcaligenaceae.